GAUGAACGCUGGCGGCGUGCCUAAUACAUGCAAGUCGAGCGAACAGACGAGGAGCUUGCUCCUCUGACGUUAGCGGCGGACGGGUGAGUAACACGUGGAUAACCUACCUAUAAGACUUGGAUAACUUCGGGAAACCGGAGCUAAUACCGGAUAAUAUAUUGAACCGCAUGGUUCAAUAGUGAAAGACGGUUUUGCUGUCACUUAUAGAUGGAUCCGCGCCGCAUUAGCUAGUUGGUAAGGUAACGGCUUACCAAGGCAACGAUGCGUAGCCGACCUGAGAGGGUGAUAGGCCACACUGGAACGGAGACACGGUCCAGACUCCUACGGGAGGCAGCAGUAGGGAAUCUGCCGCAAUGGGCGAAAGCAUGACGGAGCAACGCCGCGUGAGUGAUGAAGGUCUUCGGAUCGUAAAAAUCUGUUAUUAGGGAAGAACAAAUGUGUAAGUAACUAUGCACGUCUUGACGGUACCUAAUCAGAAAGCCACGGCUAACUACGUG
Molecule: ribosomal RNA, 497 nt
Filed under: uncultured bacterium
Lineage: Bacteria
Description: partial 16S ribosomal RNA
Rfam family: Bacterial small subunit ribosomal RNA
Source: RNAcentral